UGGGUUCCUCACAGUUCCUUUAACAGAGUAACCUUUCUCUAGAAGAAGUUUAACAAUCCAUGAAGCAAUGAAGCCACCAGCCCCGGUGACACAGACAGUUUGGCCUUGGCAUGGAAGUGAUGAAGUAUCGACAGGCAUGUUGUUUUGAUAUGUGUAUUAUUAUGUGUGCGUGUUUGGUCGUAGAACGAAGGAAGAGAGACAGAGAGAGGGAGGUGUUUUCCUUUUCUCUUGAUUUAGGAAGCGGAUGCUACAAGGAAAGAAGUGGUGGAGUGGAUGUAUUUAUAAUUAAGGUUUAGAGUUACCUUCCUCACCCACUACCGGUAAAUAUUUACCAAAGAGAGAUUCUCUCUUUCCAUUAUUUUUCUUUCCUUGAGGUUUGUGACUGAGUUUUUGUGAUAGGAAUCGUCAGCACCGUGUGUGGAAUCCUGAUUGUUUUGUAAAUGUGUUUUUUUGACCGAACGUGCAUGCUGUUUUUGACCAAAAUGUAAUUAUAAGCUACUAAUAAAUUAAGAAAUGAAAAUAUAUUAUACACAACGACCCAUUAAAUGGUUGUAGAUCACAAGUAGAAAGCAGUACUUAAUUUAAUUUGUUUUGGAAGGGGAGAGAGGGAAAGGAUCUCAUGGAUGACAAGUGUUCAUGUUAAAGAAUAUUUGGUUAUUAUAAUUUUUUUUGUUUUAAAUUAUAAUUUUUAAAAUGUUUUUUAAUUGUUUUAAUGUACUAAUAUUAAAAUUUUUUUUUAAAAAAUAUAUAUAUUAUUUUAAUAUAUUUUCAAACAAAAGAAACUUUCAAAAUUAUUAUUUAUUAUAAUUCUAAACACUAUCAUAGCACAUUGAUUACGAUAUCAUGUUCUUGUAAGCAUACUUUUCUCGAACCCCAUGUGAAUCAUGUCUCUUAAGAAAGUUGACCAGUAAAUGAAUGUCCACUGAUUAAUUAAUACAAGUAAACCAGCAAAGAAUCUGGUGGGGAAAAAAUGUAAUAAGCUACUAAUAAAUCUUACAUGGAAAACUUAUUGUUUUAUGUAUGUAUUUUUUGGACCAAAAGUGCAUGCAUGUUGUUUUUGACCAGUCUCCGGUUCUCUUGUUCUUCUUUGGCGUUUACAUCAAACUUAACUAUUAAUAGAUGAAUGUAUCGAAAUAAUGAAAUCUCCAAGGAUAUUACUAUGUUUGUUUUUAUUAUUAUUAUUAUUAUUAUUAUUAUUAUUAUUUGGAUUAGAUAAAAAAAAAUGGUCAUAUAUAUCAUAGUUUUUCUCGGAUAAUUACAAAACAAAAUACAUUAAUUGAUUAUGGAAAUGCAUAGUUGAAUCUAUAUAUCAUAUGUGCACCAUGCAUGUUUUUUUCUUUUUUUUUAAUUUCCCUAUUCAACAAUGCUCAUGACCAUCAACGUUUACCUUUUGGUCAAAUCAUAUAGAUAUAUAUAAUCUAUCCAUGUUUCUUGUUUCUUGCAUGUAUAAAGAAAGACCCAAUCACAUCAAUUAUUAAUGGUUGAUCCUGAGAGUCCUUCUCUUCCGAGUAACUUCAAAAAUAUUUUCAUAUCUUCGACAAUUUCUUACGUCCAGUUCUCUUCUUUUCCCACUGAUUGACCUCGUCUCUUUUUCUUUUUCUUUUUCUUUUUUAUUGAACGUUUGUUUUUUAUUUAGACCAGCAUUUCCAUCAAAGGACAUGAUCUUUUACUCGGUACACCAACCAUAGUUGUUUGACGUUAUGGUCUCAUCUAUUUUUUAAAAUAUUUUUUGAAUUGGGUUUUUCUUGGAAGAAAUUUUAAAUUUAUAUAUUUUUUAUAAUUUUAAUAUAUUAAUGUUAAAAAUAAAAAUAAAAUCUGAAAAAAUAUUUUUUUUUAUUUCUUAUUAAAAAACACCUUACACCACCGCAUUACAAACACUAUCAAAAAUUUUCGACCCGUAGUGUUUUGAUCGUUGGAUGCUCGUAGUCGGUUUCAAGCACUCAAACUCCCGAGUUCAAGGCGAUGUUAGACUAACGAGUAUAGGAUCAAACGACCCAUCUUAAUGAAAAAUAUAAAUGACUCACUACGGAUUAUAAAAAACUUCGCUGAGUGGUAAUGGAGACGAGAUCACACAUGACUGGUUCAUGUGCUCUUUCCGAUUGACCCCAUGGUCCCAGCAACGACCAACCUCCUCCUCCUCCAGCAGCGCCUCUAUUUUAGAUUUAUUAUAUUUGAACGUAUAAAUGUUUAAAUUUGUAACAAAUAUUUAAUUUUUAUAUUAUUUUAAUUUCUUUUAAUUUAUUUGAUUUUAAUUAUUUUUCUACUUUUGUUCAAUAUAUAUUUUUUAAAAUAUUACUGACGGGAUUACUGAUGGACCAUAUCCGUCGGUAUAUUCCAAAGAUUUGGAAAAAAAAUAUUGUAAAUGUCACUUCUAUUGUUAACUCUUUGAUGGAAUUACAGAUGAUAUUCUGUUGGUGAUAUGCUAUUUUUACCGACGGAUAUACUGAUAGACAAAUAAAAACACUGACGAAAUUGCAUAUGGUAUUUUGUCGGUUAUAUGACGAACUUCCCAGGGGAAAUACUGACAUAAUGAAGUGGGUAAUUUAUUUAUUUUGCGCGCUUUGUCUGCCUUUUAAUCCAUUGAUAAAUUUAUUAACGACGGACUCACUAAUAGACCAUAAAUUACUAACAAAAGCUUUUUUGACAGACUAUUUUCGUCCAUGAACCUAUCGCUAAAAUAUUUGUCGAUGAACUGUGAGUAUAAAUAAUAACAAAAAUUUAUAUAAAUAAAACUUUUAAAUUCAAUAAUUCAUCUAAACAUUCAGAGCUACAACGCUUACGAAGGUCACAAGACUAAAGGAGAUCUUUAUCAAUACGAAAACUCUGAUGCAAGCUGGAAGGCGAGAAUUGUUCCUAAUCUGGCGGGCAACCGACUAAUGGGGAGUCCUAUGUUAAAUAGUAAAUCUGAUGGGAUGCGAGGGAUAUUAUUUACAGCAUCAAAUCUCCUAUAUUUUAGGAUAGAUCUCUUAUCACGAUGCCUUUUUUUCUGCAGGUUAAAUAAAGAAAGAGAGAAUCACACAGAAUCAGAAUCUGAUGGGAAAGGGAUUUUAUUCUUUAAUUUAAAUAUUAUUGUACAAAAUCUUCCAACAUUCAUUGCACUAAGUUGCUUUAUAUAUAUAUAUAUAUAUCAAAUGUCAACGAGAAAGUAAAAAAUAUACAAGCCUUAAAUUGACUAUCUUGUGCAAAUAUAUUGUUUCUUAAAAUCAUAAUAUAAUUUUGCUAAUGAAGAUUUGAAGAAAAAUCUGGAAAGGACCAUGAAAGAAAAAUAGGUUAGUAAUCACGUAAAAAUGUAACGGCCGGAGGCGGAAGGUGUCUCGAAGACUAAGAGAGUGUUUGUCUACGUUGUUGCGUCUGCGUUUUGCUUAAAUUACUAUUCAUGGGUCCCACCAAAUUAUGCGUUUGAAACGCUGGAAAAUGAAAGCAGGUAUUACCUUCUUCUUGCGGCUGCACCAUGCUGCACUCUUCAGUGAACAGUGCAGCAUGGUGCAGCCUUCGCACUGUUCACUAAAGUGAACAGUGCGAAUUUUGUUUUCUUCAAAAAAGCAGCGAACAGUGCGAGUGAAAUAUAAUUCACUCGCAUUGUACAUGAACAGUUUAUUUAUUUAUUUUUUUUCAAAAAGCCAGUUAACAUUUUUUUUUUGAAAAACCAGUGCAGUUAAUUAAUUUCACUCGCAUUGUUCACGUGAAUGUGAACAAUAUUUUUUUUUAAAAAAAUUAGUUUAAGGUGAAUUAAAUUUAUUCGUACUGUAAUUUCAAUUUUAUUCCUUUUAAUAUUUUACCUAAUUUUAUUGCACGCUCAAAGAAUCAUGGAAACUGUAGUUCUUGUCGGAUGAAUUUUGUAUGUAAUGGAAUUGUAGAUAGUUUAAUGGAACAAUAAAUUUUUUUUAUAUAAAGUAUGAUUUAUUUCAUGAUGUAAUAGCAAUAGUUAAAUUUACAAUAUUUAAAUUAAAAAUCAUAAAUAUUAAUAUAUAUAUUUUUAAAUCAUUUUAUAACCUUAAUUUCAAAAGCAUUCUUAACCAAACACAUUAAACUACUUUUUGUUCAACCUCAAUUUCAACCACAGUUUUAACCAAACAUAUAUUUUUUCAAACCAACCUCAACUAAAAAUACUUUUUAUAAAACAAUUUUUUUCAAACUCCAACCACAACAGCUAUCGCAAUACCAAACACACUCUAAAAUGUGGGGUAGGGCCACAUCCCUAACAUGCACAUAAGCUUUAACAGAGUUAGCAUAUGUCUUGGCUGAGCCGGUUACGUACUUGAGGACGUGACCGAUGCUAGCAUUGACAGUGGGUUGCAACAAUGGUCCAAGCACCGACACUAGGAUCACCACCACUAGGUCAACUCCUUUCUUCCUAGCCACAUCCCACGCAUCCUGUUCUGCCACAGUCUUUCCAUAGCAAUACCAAUUCUGCAAUUCCAAGAUGAACUUACAUCAAGAUGUGAAGGAUAAGCAAUUAGGAUUUCAAGAUGCAGUAAGCCCUAUGACGCAAGGAAUAAUGAAAUUACAUCACCAUAUCUUAGGGAUAUUUUUAUUUACACCUACUCUGUAUGCUUUGAGUAACCCAAGUGUAUGUGGGCACAAUAAUAUUUAUGUUAAUCAAUUAUCAUGACACGUGAUUAAUUAGCAUAUAUUUUAUAUCAUGUUGAUUUUAUGGCCGAUCCGUGCUCUAAUUAGGAGCUAUUUAAUUAUGUUAAUCAAUCAUCAUCACAUGUUAUUAAUUAAAUACCUUGGUGUUCUUGCAGAACUCAAGAUCACUCCAGCAAGAUUCAUCAACGACAACAUCCACUACCAGAAAACCGAAGAAAACCAACGGAAUUACCGACGGACAAAUUCCGUCGGUAAUUAAUUCCGUCUCAAAAUCUGUCGGUAUAUACCGACGGCCUAGCUCCGUCGGAGAAACGGUCGGUAUAUACCGACAGAAAUAUUUUGUCGGUAUAUACCGACCGUUUCUCCGACGGAGUAUACAGUUUGUCUGGAAAGAUGCAACGGCGUGGUGACGUGGAGUUUUUUCAGAUGAUUUUACCGACGGAAUGACCGAGGGAUUCAAACUGAGAUAGUUGUACAGUGACGUGGCACUGUCACCGACGGAAUCACCGAUGGAAUUAAUCCGUCGGUGAUUCCAUCGGAAAAAACCAUUAUAUACCCACCCUAUCUGCCGACACUCUCUUCAUCUGUUUCUCCUUCUUCUUCUUUCCCAUCCCACCUCUCCCCUCCCAAACUGCAGUCAACCACCCAUCCCGACUCUCCACUAUUCUCAACACAAGCACUCAAGUUUCUUAUAUCUUGUACGUGGUCACAAUAUCCGUUUCUUGUGGAUUUUAUCAUUUUUUAUGGUAUUAAUUUUUGUUCAUGCUUGUUAAAUCUUUUUGAGAUAGCAUAUAUAUUUUUAGUAUUUUUCCAUUCAUAAUUGGUAUUAGUAACUAGAACAAGAAGUAGAUAAAUUCUGUCACUUUAAUUUAUUAAGGAGGAAUGAAUCAUGUUUAAUUAUUCAAGCUUUUGAAUGGUUGAUGUGCUCUUAAAGUUAUUAUCGAGUGAAUGAGAAUUGUUUCUCAAUAUUGAAUUUGCUUGAUGAUAAAGAGUUAAAAACUUAGUCUAAUUUAUUUAUUAUUAAUCUUCAUGAUUUCUCUUAGUUUUAAGAGAAAUUAAGUUUAUUUAUUUGAAUUGAAAGGAUAGUCAUUUCACUUCUAUGAUCGUAUAACCCUUUGAACUAAGAUAACAAAAUAUAUAGUAAUUACCUUUUAAGUUUUCCAAAUUUCAUUGCUUUUCUGAUUUCUGUCUUAUUCAUACUCCCUUGUCUUAAUUUUUUUAAUUUCAGUGCUUCAUAGACUUAGCUAAAAUUUCUCUUGGAUUCGACAGGGUAUCACCAUCAUACUGCUAGAUAUUGUUUAGGUGAUAGUUAAAAUCGGAAUUAAUAUUUGGAGAUUCUGACAACGGACCCAUUUUUAGCUUGUUUUGGGAUUGGAAGGUGACCCUUUUCCUGCAAGCUCUUAACAGAUUCAUACAAGCACUGUUUUACUGGGGUGAAUUCGAUGCCCAGAUCCUUGAUCUUCUGGUUUGUGAACUUGUAGGGUUGUUUUCUUGGGUUCUUCUCAUCUGAACACCUGCAAAUGCAUUGCAAUACAAAAUAUUAAUAUUCAAGAUUAAUAAUAAUAAAAAAACACAGCACAAUUAAUUCUUUCUACAAACUUGGUAGGUUUUUUUCUACAAAAUAUUAAUAUUCACUAGCUCAUUAAGCACUACAAUUAGACAAACAAGUACUGUAGCAUAUAAUUGCAUGAGAUUAGGAUUUAGGACCCAAUAAUCCUCUUCCUAACUCUCCAUGACAAAAUUUGAAAAUAUAUAACAAAGCAAUUUAACAGAGUAACCUUUCUCUAGAAGAAGUUUAACAAUCCAUGAAGCAAUGAAGCCACCAGCCCCGGUGACACAGACAGUUUGGCCUUGGCAUGGAAGUGAUGAAGUAUCGACAGGCAUGUUGUCUUGAUAUAUGUAUUAUUAUGUGUACGUGUUUGGUGGUAGAACGAAGGAAGAGAGACAGAGAGAGGGAGGUGUUUUCCUUUUCUUUUAAUUUAUAUUUGUUUUAUAUAAGACCAAAGUCUGAAGAUGCAAGGGAAUUCAUUUUGAUUCCGAUGAAUUUUCUAAAUGAUAAAAUAAGAUAAUAUGACAGAUUCAUAUUACAGGUGUUAAUAGUUCCAUAUUAUGUAUUGAAAUAUCUACAACAGUUAUCGAUCAAUAUUGUAAUAUGAAAGAAACUAAAAGAACAUAAAAUUUAACAUAUUUUGACAUUGUGUUUACUUUCAUAUGAACGAGGAGUUUCUAUUUUCAUUAUAUGUCGAAUACGAUUACAUAACAUAUAUUUAUAGAUAUUAAAUUGCUUAAGGGAUAUUAAAAAAAUAUUAAUAAUACCAAUUUAUUAUACCGCGGGCAUCAUUGCCCCCACACCCUAUCAAUAAUCUCUAGCAAAAAAACAAGAAAUAAAUCCCAUAGAGUUAGAUGUUAUCAUUGCAAAGAUUAUCUUCUAUAACCAGCACCAACAAAUCAUAUAUAUAUGGUAUUUUUUAUUGCAAUGAUUAUUUUCCAUAACCAGCACGAAUCAAAUCAUAUAUCUAUGGUAUUUUAUAUUGCAGUAAUUAUAUAUGAUUCAGUAAUUAUCUCCUUGACAUAUUGCUUCCUUAAUAUUAGCCCUCAUGCUCUAUGUUAUCGUCACAUAUAAACCUUUAUUUUUUUAUUUUUUAUUUUUGAAAUUUAUCAAAACAUGGGUCAAAAAUUGGGUAGCAACACGGCUUAUCAAAAGGAAAAAGUCAUCGCCUUCCUUUUUCUAGUUCUCAAUCAAUCUCUAAUCAUCCUCUUGAAUUAAUUUUCUCCAAUGUUUGGAAUCCAUCUCCUAGCAUGUCAACCAAUGGCAAUAAAUACUAUGUUUCGUUUGUUGAUCAUUUUAGCAAAUUUAUAUGGUUAUUUCUAAUCCCUAACAAAUCAAGUGUCAUGCAAAUUUUUUGUUCAUUUCAAAAACUUGUUGAAUGCCAAUUUAAUUGUAAGAUAAACUCUGUACAAACUGAUUGGGAUGAGAAAUAUCGCUCUCUUCACACAUAGUUUGCAAAUAUUGGCAUUCAACACCGAAUCUCAUGCCCUCAUAUGUCCCAACAAAAUAGAUUCGUUGAACGAAAACACCGUCACAUCGUUGAAACGGGCCUCUUACUCUUAUCCCAUAGUCAUGUUCCUCACACCUAUUGGGAUAAUGUUUUUCUCAUGGCCACAUAUCUCAUUAAUUUCCUUCCCACCACCCCUCUUAGUUUUUCACCAUUUGAAAAACUCUACAAACAUGCUCCUGAUUUUUCAUCUCUAAAUUUUUUUGGGUGUGCUUGUUUUCCUUUUCUUCACCCAUUCAAUUGCAACAAACUUGACUUCAGAUCUAAACGUUGUGUCUUCAUUGAUUAUAGCAACUCUCAUUAAGGAUUUAAAUGUCUUGAUAAAUCCAUUUGCAAGAUAUUUGUUUCAAGACAUGUGAUUUUCGAUGAAGGGUCUUUCCCUUUUGCUAACUAAGACGCAAACCUAAUAUCAAAGAAUCUUCUCAACCUAAAAGUUUAAGCUAUUAGAUGAGGUCCCAAGAUAUGAUUUAUAUUAUUCUUUAACAUACCCCCUCAAGUGAAAGUUAUUUGGGCUUGAAACUUGUAUAGACUCACACUAUUUUGUGCUUAAUUUUUAUCAAUUAAAUGGGGAUGAUGAAAUUCAAACUCAUGAUCACUUGGUCAUCAAGGCUUUGAUAUCAUGUCAAAUAACCAUCUCAACCUAAAAACUUAAGUUAUUAAAUGAAGUCCUAAGAUAUGAUUUCUAUUAAUCUCUAACAAUUCGAUAGUUUUACCCAUAUUUACCUAGCAUUUUGUUCAUGUUCUAUAUAUAAAAUACCUUGAUAAUAUUUCUUUUAUAUUUUAAAGGCACUUUUGGAUGUGAAAUUCUAAAAUGAGUAAAUUAGAGAUAAAAUUCAGACCAUGUUUCAUCUCGCGUCGAAUAUUGGCAGAUUUAACCUUUGAUCGAUGUUUUAUGCAGAACUUGAGUUGUAAAGGUCGAAAUGAAGUGAUUCUAGUGGCAUUAGAAAGCUAACAUCCAUACCCUUCUAUAAGUAUAUGGCAAGAAAAAAAAGAAGGAAAUCACAGCUUUCAAAGAAAAGUAUUGCAUUCUGCCAGUUUUGAUCUUUGGUGAUUCUAACUUGAAUAUCUUGAGGUAGAGAAGUCCAUUUGAUGCAAACUCAAUUUUGUUGGAUUCGUGACUCAGAUAAAUAUCAACCUACCAAAUUUCAACCUAUUCAAAGAGCUCAUAUUAGAGAGAUAUGAUUUUUCUAAGACAACCUAUAAAUUCUACCAUAGACAGGUUUUGUGAAGCAAUAAGUCCAACUUACUUAAAUGUAGAUUGUUUACUUUGUAAAGGACUAUUUUUAUAUUUUUUAGGAGAGUAAAAAUGGUUUGGAGGAAUGUGGGGAUUAGGAUUUCCUAUCAAAUAAAAAGAAAGAGAGAAAGAAAAGGAUGAGGCAGCUAGAAAGAAGAAGAAAACCCCACUCUUUUCUCCUAUACCAGAAAUUAUGUUCUCAUAUAUUUUAUUCAUUAGUUUUUCAAUAGACAUGCAAGGCUAAGUAAUUUUUCUUGAUUGAAAGGAUACAAAAACCUUCGAAUUUCAAAAAAACUGUGAGAUUUAUUCUAUCUUUUCAGUUUAUAUGAUGAGUAUGAAUGUUUUUCUAUGCUUAUUUCCUAUGAUUGUUUAGUUUGAUUGUUAGAGCGGACUCUAAGUUAUUAUUCUAGACCAAUAUAUGGCUAAGUUUGCUAUCAAAACCAAAGUUGUGAUAUUUGAACUUGUGAAGCGACUAACUUUAAUAAUUAUGAUGGAUUUAUGUUGUUAAUCUUGUCAUAAUCCAUUUUUAGGUUCUUCCAAAUUACAUUUCUUUUUUUUUUUAAAAAAAAAGAACACUGAAACAGUGUCGUUUUGAACGGCACUGUUCUCCUUCUUCCCUGCGCAUGCAGAGGCAGGGAAGAAGAAGAUUUUAAAUCAUUUUUCCCGCUCUCUCUCUCCACCCCACUUGCCCAAAAAGCCCGCAUGACCCAUACCCACACAACCAUACCCUGCAAGCAUUAUGGAAGAAAAAUGAGACGGAGACCCAUGCCCUGCACUUGAACAGGGUAUGGCGAACCUCUCCCCAACUGCCUAUAAAUACAAAGGAACGCGCAGAAGAAUGAGGAGGGGGGAGAAAAGAAAAAAAAAGGAAACCAGGGGGGGCGGCAAAAUUUUAGAGAAGGAACAGGGGAAGAAGACGAGAGGAGGAGGGGGAGGAGAAGGAACAAAGGAGAGGAGGUCAGCCAUUACAGCCAUCUCACAGCAGACUAGAGAGAGAAGCAACCAAACAGAAACGAGGAAAUGAAAACAGAAACAGAGAGGAGAAAGACAGCAGAAAAACACGCGGAGAAGAGGGAACCGUCGACCGGCCAGAAUCAGCUCCCCAGGCCGCCGCCACUAGCACCUCCACGAAGCCGCUGCAGAGAGGGGACAUUGUUGACAAAGGGAACAAAAAAACAGAGGAAGAAAACAACACAGCGAAGCAGAGGAGAGAAGGAAAGACAGCCGCUGCCCCGGCCACCUUCCACCACCGCUGACGACCACAACCGUGCUUUCCCGCUCCAGGUAACUUUCUCCCCUCCUCUGCCGUUUUUAUUUGUUCAUCUUCAUUUGCAUGCAGAACGUGAGCAAUUCACGUUCUGCAGCAAAUGAAGAUUAAUUAGCUAGUUACUGUGCACAGCACAGUAACUAGCUAAUUAUAUUUUGGCUGGUUACUGUGCGCACUUUUGUUCGUUUUGGGCUGGAACAUUAGCCCAGACCACGCGGCUGGGCUGAGUCCAGCCUUGUAGCUGGGCCAAUACAGGCCCAGCUCACAUAAUUGGGCCGGGUCCGGCCCAGUUCCAUUUUAAAAAAAUAAAAUAUUUUCAAAAAUUAUGAUUUUCCUUUGUAUUUUUUUACGCCAUUUUGAUUAAUAUCGGUCUGUAUUUUUUUAUCGUAAAGAUACAAAUCCAGUAUUAAAAUACCCGGUUUUUGUCAAAACAUAAAAAAAAACAUGUUUUUGUUUUCAUGCAUACGGCCAAGUCUCUCAAAGCUAAAAAAACUAUUGUAUUUUCAUACAACAAAGAAAACUUCAAAAAACAAACAAAAUGUUUUAGCAUGCAUUUUUGGCUUUAAUAACCAGUUUAUUAAAAUCACGAGAACUUGACCAAUAUUUCAAAAAUUCUAAAAAAAUUUAUUUUGUUUUCUUUUAAUAUCCGGGAUUACAAAUUUACACGUAAAAUGUACUCCCGAUAUUAAAAAGGUAGUUUUUCUUAUUUGACGUUAGAACGAGUAGAUUUUUACCCGAUAAGAUAAGGACCUCCUUACCGAGGAGGACUUUUCUUAAACCAUUGACAAACCAAAAAUUAGAAAACACAACGAGACCUUAGUUUUUAUCAGACAAUAAAACAAUGCAGCUUACCUUGGGUAGGGCGUAUUUGAGGUGCUAAUACCUUCCCUUUACGCAACCAGUCUCCGUACCCGAUCUCUGAGACCAGUUAGGGUUCCUAGUGACCAUAAUACUAGAUGGCGACUCCAUUCCAUAUUUUUCACUAAUAAGAGACAAGAAUUCCUUGUCUCUUCAUAUUUGCCAAAUAGAUACACACAUAUGAGUGUGGAGGAUGAUCGUCGAAACGCCGUACACGUGCGACAAAUCUUAGGGAAAACAUUCAACUAAAUCGACAAUAUAUUACAAACAGUUAUCUUAGGGAUUCCUGCCGCAAGAAAGGUUUUUUCCCAAGUUUGCAGGGACACAAUUGCAAGAUGCUUAAAGUUUGAAGACCAGUUGCAGGCUAAUUUGAAUCUUUUUUUUAGACCAAGGACCAAAUGGAAAAGGUGCUAAAACAAGAAAGUUGAUUGAAGAUAAAAUUAGAAAGAAAUUUUGCCGGAUGAAGAAAUUGAAGAACAGAGAUUCGAUCAGAAAAGGAAAAUAGGGAAGCUGAUCACAUUUUGCUCUCAUCAGAAAAGGAAAAUAGGAGAGCUGAUCACGUUUUGCUCUCAUUUUUACGAUUGUCAUUUUGAGAACGACCCCUCCCCCGUCUGAUUUCUUUCCUGCACAAACCUUCCCGGCUGAGUUCUUUCCUUUUUUCUCUGCAAAUUCCUGUUGUUUUCCUUUAUCAUCACACCUGAUUUUUGGAGCUGCAACCACGUUUUUAUUGCCUCAUUUCAAAGGGAGCAGCUGGCUUCAUAGUCCCAGCUAUGGAAGGAAAGAAAGGAGCCACAUCAUCCUCUAAAAAAUAAAACUUGAAAGAAAUCAGAUAUGAUCACAAAAUCAGAAUCAAAAUAUUUUGGUUUCCUAUUUCUGCUCACCCGAGAUUACACCCUAGAGUUAAUGUAAUAUUUGUUUCCUAAAUAAAGCCUUGUAUAGGCUAUAUAGAAGCCUCGACUGCUGACCUAGAGGAGGAGGAAAAAACGAGAAAAGAAAGACAAAAAAACGCAAGAGAGGCUGGCAGUAAGAGAGAGAAGGGAAAAACGCAGAGAGCAGGGGUUCAUCUUUUCGACUGUGAAAGUCUUCACAGGAACGAAGUUACAGAAAAAAAAGAGAGGAGGAGGACGAAAAAAAGAGAGAGAAAGAGGACACGAAAGAGGAGAGAAAAAAAAAAGAAAAGGAGAGGAACGAAAGAAAAAAGAAAGCAGAACGCCACUGUCAAAAGCAGAAAAACACAGAGGCAGGGGCGUGAACUCAACCAUGCAUAGCACGUUUUCAUCGCCGUCUCCCUCAUCAUCUCCACAGAGAGCAUCAGCAGAAGGAAAGAAAAGGAACAGAGAUCAUCAACCGGCGUGGCCAUCGUUUUCACUGUCCCCAGAAGCAGUGACCACCGGCUGUGCGCAGAAGCUGCAGUACCGUUGUCUUCAUCCAUCUCAGUUACCAGAGAGGGAGAGAAAGAAAACACAGAAAACGGGACAAAGGAGGAGAAAAAAAAAAGGGAUAAAGCGCAGGAAAAACGAAAAACCAUAAACCAGCAGGACUGCCUUUAAUUCGGUCUUUGCUUUCAUUUUUUGCAUAUAAAAUCUGCAGAACAGGGAAGAAGAAAGUGCAGAAAACCAGUAGAGAGAGAGAGGCACGGAGAUUGCAGAGGUGAAACUCAGAAGAAGAACGCCAACAUAGAAUAGGGGGAAAGAACUGAAGCAGACGGCAGCACUGAUCGACUAGCCUGCAAGCCUUCAAACAUCGCCGUUGUCCUUUCGUUCCCAGGUCUGUUCUCUUCACCUCCCGCACCAUGCAUUCUUUUUGCAUGCACCAUGCAUUGUUCAAGUGAAUCUUAAUUCACUUGAACAGUAACGUGGUCUCUUUGCAUGCAUUUUGCCUUGUUUCAUUGAGAAGACUGCGCCCCUUUUUUUUUUUGUCCAGCCGGGUCAGUUGCUUGGGCAAGUGACCUGGCCGGACAUGCUGUUUUCUUUUUCUUUUUUUUCUUUUAAAAAAAUAAAAGAAAAAGAAAGAGAUUUAUGCUUUUCUAGCAUAUUUAUCUUAAGAUCUGAAUUUUUUUUAUGUUGUAAAAAAAACACUACCAGAAAUUCGCUAAAUACCAACGGAUUUACCGACGGAAAAGUUUCUGAAUUUUAAAAAAGGCGGGUCGCUGACGUGGAGGUUUUGGCGGGUUUUAUUUUCCGACGGAAUCACCGACGGAUUCAAAAACGAUUGCCCGUACAGUGCCCGUAAAGUGAUGUGACCGGUUCGCAGUUUAAAUUUCCGACGGACUCACCGAGGGAUUUGAAAUGGCAGAUCUGUACGGUGACAUGUCUAUGUUUCCGUCAGAAUCACCGGUGUAAUAACCGACGGAGUGUCCGUCGGUAAAACCGUCGGAAAAAGUUAAUAUAUGACAGCUCUGCCGACCCUCUCAUCCCUUAUUUCUCCUUCUUCUUCCUCAUCCCAACUCUCCCUAUCUGCAAACAACCAGCCCCCCUCCCCCCCCAAAAAAAAAAUCUUCCUCAUAGCAGCACAACAAGUUAUAUUUCUUGAAGUUUUGUGGUCACAGCAUCCGCGCGUGUUCUGAUUUACCGACGGAUUUUAUCAAUUUUUAUAAGUAAUUAUAUCUUUUUAAAUUUUAACAUUUAAUUAAAUGUCAAUUUUAUUGUUUUUUUAGUAUAUGUAUUUUAUUAGUAGAUGUACAUGUUUUAUUGUUAUUUCUCAAACAAACUUGUAGUAUAUGAAUGUAUAAUUUUGUACCUGUUAUGGUUUGUUUUAGAUUUUGUAAGAUUGUAUUUGUUUGUAAAUUGUUAUUUCUUUAUGGAAUUACCGAAUUACAUGUGCUAUUUUGAAAUAAUUAAUAGCUUGCUUAAUGGGCCCGUUUAAAGUUUUAUCAAUGGUAUUGCGGAGUGGUAAUUUCUGUAAAUUUAUAUUUUUUAAUUCGUAUGGACGUUGAUAAAUGAUAAUGAAUAUUUAAUAUUUAUGAGAAGUUGUGAUUGGUUUGUUGGAUAAUCUCGAGUUAAAGUAAUAUUUGUACAAGUUUAUUUACCUAACUUAGUUAAUUAAUACAUGAUGUCAUCAUAAUUUUAUAGAGGUUCGAUAUAAGUCAUGGAUGAUCGUUCAUGGAUGUAUCGAGAUUCACCCCAAGGAUUGCGGAGGAUGGAUUAUUGUAAUGGGGUUCAGGGUUUUAUUAAUUUCGUAACAUCUAUUCCCAGAAAUUUUACUGGAGGCGGUAUUAGGUGUCCAUGCAGGAAGUGUGAAAAUAAAAAGUAUCUGCAUCCAGAUGUUGUAAUGAUGCAUCUUCUACACAAAGGGUUUAUGGAGAAUUACCAGUGUUGGUAUGCACAUGGAGAAGUAUUUGUUAGCGAGAGUGAGAGGAGAAUGGAAGAAACGAUGGUUGGGUCUACUUCUAGUGCUAGUAACGUGCAUGAAACGACAAAUGACAACACUAAUCCUUACAGAAAUAUGGUUAUGGAUGCAAUGAGAAUGAAUCAAGGUAAUGGCAGUCAAUGUCCAAUCGUAGAAGAAGAACCUAAUGUAGAUGCAGCUAGGUUUUUUGAUUUGUUGAAAGAUUCUGACGAACCAUUAUGGGAUGGCUGCACGAACCACAGUAAAUUAUCGGCCGUAGCACAGGUGUUCACCAUCAAGUCAGAUCACGGGUUGAGUGAGGCCGGGUAUGACAAGAUUAUUGAAUGGGCAAGAAGCAUUUUACCUGAAGGGAACAGGCUGAAAGAGAACUUCUAUGCUGCGAAGUCCAUGAUGAAACCCCUCGGUUUAGGAUACCAGAAAAUUGACAUGUGCCCUAACUUCUGCAUGUUAUACUACCUUGAAAAUGCUGAGAUGACCGAGUGCAUGACAUGCGGGCAUUCCCGUUACAAACCUAGAACUGGCAGGGGAAAGACUCUAGUGGCAUAUAAAAAACUUAGAUACUUCCCGAUCACACCUAGACUGCAGAGGUUAUUCAUGUCACCAAGGACUGCUGAGUACAUGACAUGGCACCAAGCACACCAUGCGGUUGAUGGAGUGAUGGUUCAUCCUUCUGACGGCGAAGCGUGGAAACGCUUUAACAGUGUUCAUCCUCACUUUUCAGUUGAAUCAAGGAAUGUGCGUCUUGGGUUGUGUACAGACGGAUUCAACCCAUUUGGGUCAUUUGCUGCUCCUUAUUCUUGUUGGCCGGUCAUACUCACAGUUUAUAACUUGCCACCGGGAAUGUGUAUGAGGCCGGAGUUCAUGUUUUUAUCUACUGUCAUACCCGGUCCAAGAAGCCUGGGGCGGAAUAUAGAUGUUUGUCUUCGACCGUUGAUUGAUGAGUUGGCGCAGUUGUGGUCCUCCGGAGCUCUGACUUAUGAUAUAUCGAGGAAACAAAAUUUCCUUAUGAGGGCGGCAUUGAUAUGGACUAUCAAUGAUUUUCCAGCUUAUGGAAUGCUUUCUGGUUGGAGCACACAUGAGAAACUCGCAUGUCCAUACUGCAUGGAAAACAACAAGGCAUUCACGCUAGCAAAUGGAGGUAAAGCUUCUUUUUUUUACUGUCACCGUCGCUUCUUGCCACUUCAUCACAGGUACAGAAAGAACAGAAAAGAUUUCUUUGUUGGCAGAGUUGAAAAAGAUGUUGCAUCCCCGCGUCUUUCUGGUGAAGAAUUGCAUGAUGUUGUCUCAGAGUACGGUGACAUUGUGUUUGGCCUUCAAUCAGGAAAGCAAAAGUUUCUUGGUUUUGGUUUGACCUAUAAUUGGGUAAAGCGAAGUAUCUUUUUUGAGCUUCCUUAUUGGAAGACCAAUCUGCUUCGCCAUAACCUUGACGUCAUGCACAUCGAAAAGAACAUGUUUGAGAAUAUUUUCAACACCGUCAUGGAUGUGAAGGGGAAGACAAAGGACAACAUCAAGGCUAGAUUGGAUAUAGCUUUAUAUUGUAACCGAAAAAAUAUGGAGUUGGUUUAUGAUGAGUCACGGGUCGCAAAACCAAGAGCAAGCUUCGUGUUAGAGAGACAUACAACAGCGGUGUUUGUGUUAAGGGAUCCACUAGUAGUGAGUUAGAAGUUGACUACUAUGGUAGAUUAGAAGAGGUCGUCGAACUGCAAUAUCAUAACGAGCAGAAUAUAGUGUUUUUAUUCAAAUGCUAUUGGUAUGACACGACUGACAGAGGAAUCAGAGUUGAUCCGCACUAUGGUCUGGUCGAAAUCAACUCAAAAGCUAGACUCCGCAACAUAAACGAUGUCUUUGUUUUCGCAAAGCAAUGUCAACAAGUUUAUUACACAUACACCCCUUCAUUUAGAAAGGAUCGAUCAAGAGUGGAUUGGUUGUCCGUUUUAAAAACAAAACCCCGGGGUCGUGUCGAGGUUGUUCAGGAUGAGAACGAAGACACAAGUGUGCGAGAUGAAGUCUUUCAAGUUAGUGAGGUGGUUGAACCAUAUCGAGUUGCUCCUUCGAUUGAAUUGGAAGAAAAUUCAAAUUUUCGUGUUUUCGAUGAUAGUCUUGUUGAUGUUGACGCAGAUGAGUUAAAUUUUGUUUUGAGCUCUAGCGGACAACCAAAUAUCGAUGAAGAAGAUGAUAUUCAUAUUGAAGAUUGCGAUGAAGGUGAUGACAAUUCAAUUGAUGACGAAGAAGAAGAAAAUUCUGACUAACUACCAAAAUGAAGCCCUAUGUAAAACCCUUUUUUACAUGUAAUUUCGAUUAUGAAUGAUAUAUAUAUUUUGAAACACAAAAUAUUUAUUACUUGAAAUAAUUAGUUGAAAUGCCACAAUUAUGAUGGAUGCUAUAUUUUGUGACAUGAAAUAAUUACUUGAAAUGCCACCCUAUCACCGACGGCCUUACGUCCGUCGGCAUUUCACAGAGAGUUCGAAAAUAAUUACUUGAAAUGCCACCCAAUUACAGACGGCAACACCGACGGAAUUAGUCCGUCGGUGUUUCACAGAGAGUUCGAAAAUAAUUACUUGAAAUGCCACCAGAUCACCGACGGCCUUAAGUCCGUCGGUGUUUCACAGAGAGUUCGAAAAUAAUUACUUGAAAUGCCACCCAAUUACAGACGGCAACACCGACGGAAUUAGUCCGUCGGUGUUUCACAGAGAGUUCGAAAAUAAUUACUUGAAAUGCCACCAGAUCACCGACGGCCACACCGACGAAUUUAAAUACGUCGGUAAGUUGUCGGCGGUUCAAUUUUACUGACAACAUUACCGACGGACUGCGCGAAUUUCAAAGGGUUGCGCAUUUAAUGCGCCUCUGACCGCGUAAUAUUGCCAACGGAAUUACCGACGGACCACGAAAAAUAUGGAGGGUUAUUAAAAAUUUUGGUGCGAAAUUCAAACUUUGCCGACGGAUUUUUAACAUAUCACCGACGGAAUAAAUUAAAAUAAUAAUUAAUUUUAUAUCCGUCGGUGAAUCCGUCGGUAAAACUGCCAUAUAAGUUCAAGUGACCGCCCGUUCAGUUCAUUUUUUCUUCUCCUUCGUUUCUCACCUUAAGCUUUUGAUUUUUUUCCUCUCCAUUCUUCAAAGCUUUCACCUCCAAUCUCUAGCAAGUUUUCUUCAUCAUCUUCAUCAGUUUAAAAGGUUAGUAUUUUCUCUAUUUCAUUUUACUUUAAUAGUUUUUUUUUGCUAUUUUUUUGGUUAUUUUUUUUGUUUUGGUGUAUUUUUUGUAAUGUAGAUAAAGUCUAUAGUUUUUUUUGCAUAAUUCAUUGCUAAAGUAUAUAGUUUUUUUUUUGAAUUUUUUUUAUUGUUGUAUUGGCAUAAUUAUUAUUAGUUAAUUUGAUGAAUUUUUAUUGUUAAUGUUGAAUUUACCAUAGAAUUAGUAAUUGAAUAUGUUGGAAUAAUUAUUAAUUUUACUUUAUUAUUGCAUGAUUUGUGUUUAAUUUGUUCCAUUUAUUUUGAUUGUUAUUCUAGAGUUUUUUUUUUUAAUUUAUUGUUUUGUUGUAUUGGCAUAAUUAUUGAAUAAUUACUUGAAUUGUAAUUGUUAAUGUUGAAUUUACCGUAGAAUUAGUAAUUGAAUAUGUUGGAAUAAUUAUUAGUUUUACUCUAUUAUUGCAUGCUUUGUGUUUAAUUUUUUCCAUUUAUUUUGAUUGUUAUUAUAGAGUUUUUUUAUUUAUUUAUUGUCUUGUUGUAUUGGCAUAAUUAUUGAAUAAUUACUUGAAUUGUAAUUCUUAAUGUUGAAUUUACCUUAGAAUUAGUAAUUGAAUAUGUUGGAAUAAUUAGUAUAGAUUGGGUAAAUUGGUUGUGGCUAUUGUUAAUAUGUGCAGGUUUGUGGAUUUGGGUAGUAUCCGGUAUAGGGGAGGUGCUGUCGAAAUUUUUUUUUACAUUUGAAUUUAAUUAUAUAAUUAUUUGUAUCAAAUUGUGUAGAUGUGUAGAACGAAAACCAGAGCUGGUCGCUCAGGUGCGGUCGCAGCUAGUUCAUCUAGCAGCGAGGAUGAUAUUUCCUUAGGUGCCUCUCAAGAAGAGGCACCUACACCACCUGCGCCGUCAACCGAUGUUGCCUCUUCCAGCGGUACUUCACAGCGCAGAGGCGGCAUGCCUUCGCAGCGGAAUCAAUUUACCCGCAAGUACAAGGCACAGUGGAAGGACGACCUUUCAAUGUAAGUUUGUUAAGGUUUUAGUUUUUUUUAUCAAGUAAUCACUAUUGAAUUUAUUUCAUUUAUUUUCAGGUUCACAAACAUUGAAGCCGCCCGAGUAAUAUCAUCGGCGUUUAAAUCGUCGAUGGAGAUUCCAUUGUUUCAAUGGAGUCAGAUAUCCAAGCAUCCUGAAUGGAUGCCUCAAAUCAAUGCAUGGUUUAACAGGUUUGAGGUUGGUAUUAAUUUAUAAUUUUCAGCUUAUUAAUAUAAUUGUAUUAUUUUUAUUUAAACUUAUUUAUUUAUACAAAGCACAAAUUCUGCUGGGACAUUGAGCAUAACGCUGUUGUAAGGAGGGUGUGGGAAAAUCACGCGGCAACUAGGUAAGAUCGAAAACAAUACAGGAUUUUUUUUAGACAAAAAUUUAUGUUUCGAAAUGUAAUUUUUGGUUGCGUGAAGCAGGUUGCGUGAUUUUUGGUAUGAAGCACAGAAAAAGGCAAAAAAAACCGCGAGGGAUAGGGGUUUCCAAGCCUGGAACGAUGUUGCGGUUUGGAGGGAUUUCAAACCGAUAUACAUCCCGGAAGAUAUAUGGCCGCACUAUCUUGAGCACGUGACGUCUGAGCGGUUCACACGACGCUCACAGUCCGGUGCUGGCAACCGGAAUCGGCCAAUUCAUGGCGGGGUGACAACUCACACUGGCAGCUCCGUUCCGUUUGCUGCACAUGCGAAACGGAUGGUAAGAUUAAUUUAAAUAAAAUAUAUCGUUAAAUUCAGUUGUUGUUAAUAUAUCUUUUUUCAUUAUAGGAUGCGUCUCUUGGACGUGAGCCGAGCCCGAUGGAGCUGUUUGUGGAGACGCACGUGCGGAGUCAAGACCGCCAGAAGGGGGCGCAACAGUUCGUUGAUAACCGUGCUCAGCAUUUCGUGGUAUGUUUGUUCAACCAUUUUAUUUUGUAAGUUAUUAUGUUUAUUGUAUUGAAUAUGAUGAUUACUUUUUUUAUUUUAUUUUCAGGAGACCUAUAAUAAUCGGUUGAGGGAGAGAUACGGGGACGAUACCUUGACCCAUCCGGAAUUCGAUCCGGAUUUGUGGAUGGAGGUUGGCUCGUCAGGUGGACCAGAUAAAAAUCGGGUUUACGGGCUCUCCAACACUACGGCCGACAACUUGCGGUCGACCCGUAGUGUUUCAACCGUUGGGAGCUCCCAAUCAAUAGCGAGCUCCCAAUCUAAGGAGUUCGUGGCUUUGCAGCAACUCAACGAGAAAUACGACAACCUACAAGCGGAGUACGCACAACUCAAAGCGUCUCAUGCACAACAAAGAGCGGAGUCUGAGCAAUUCAAAGCGUCUCAAGCACAACAAAAAGCGGAGUAUGAAGCGGCUCAGGAACAACAAAAAGUGGCUUAUGACCAGCUUUACGAAAUGAUUAUGAAAUUGUCAAAUAGCGGAACAUAUGCGCCUAAUCCUUUUUGGCCGUAUAACCACCAGCCUCCGCCAGGAUCUCCUCCUCCUCCUCAAGCUCCAUCAUCUUUAUAUUAAUUUGUAAUCAACAUUAUUUACCUUUAAAACUUCAUUUAUUAUUUUUCUUGAAACAUAUUCAGUUUGUCAUUCAUAUUAUUUAACUUCGUUUUUUUUUUAUGUUUAAUAAAAAUUUUAUUUGCAUAAUUGGUUUGUAUAACAAUUAAUUUAUAUAGUUUUAUAUUAUAUAUCCUAAAUAAUUUUUUAAAAACAAAUUAAGAAAAAAACUAUUACCAAGGAUUUUACCGAUGGAUGAAUUCGGUCGGUAUUUUAAACUUUCACCGACAGAAUUACCGACGGAAUUAAUCCGUCGCUAUUUAACAGUAGCUUCCACCAGUACCGACGAAUGUACAGACGGAAUUAAUCCGUCGGUAUUUCAUACAUUCACCGACCGAUGUAACGACGGAUAUUUUCCGUCGGUAAUUUAAAUUUCACCGAUGGAAUGAAAAUUCGUCGGUAUAUUUCAAGCGGGAAUCUUUUUUUUUGGCGCGCACGUUCCGUCUAUAAAACCGCCAGUAAAUGAUUUUUUUGUUUUUCCGAUGGAUAUACCGACGUAAUGAGGAAUCACCGACGAAGGUAAAGCCGACGGACGUAAAAAAAAUCACCGACGAACUUCUAAUCACACACCGACGGAAUUUUUCCGUCGGUAAAACUGUGAAAUCUUGUAGUGAAAUAUAUCAAUCUCGUAUUUAGAAUACCUAACAUGUUUUGAACGCUCUUUUUUAUACAAAAAAUAUUGGAAGUUUCGAAAAUGUGUUUUCGCAUAGAUUUCUUAAACACAACAAAAAUUAUUUUCUUGCAUUUCUGGAUUUUACAUCAUGUUUGUAAAACUCCAAAGGGUAUUGGCCAAUAUUCCAAAAAAAUAAAAAAAUUUAUUUUGGAGGGAAUUCAUCUAUUAUUCACCGUUAAUGUUUGGAUAAAGAAAUCUCAAAGGGAUAAAUAUCCAAAAUAUUAAGGGGAAUAACUUGUUAUUAUUCCCUAUUAAUAUUUGGAUAAAGAAACCCUAAGUGGUAAAUAUCCAAAAUAAUUUUCUAGGGAUAAUAAGUCAUCACACAUCCUUGAAAAAAGCCUUGAUUAUAAUCGAGGACAUUUCAAUUUUUUACUCCAUGGUUUACGAGCCGUGAGAGUAUAAAACACUAAGGCAAAAAUAAGCUUUUAAAGCGCCCUAGAUUUCUAAAUUUUUGUCCCUCCUCCUUGCGAUUUACGAGUCGCAAACUCUUGAAAUAUUAAGGGAAAAAUGAGCUUUUAAAGCACAUGGAAUCUCCUUGGAUUUCUAUCUUAAUAAAUUUAGUUUGAAUCAAACCUAGGAAAACUGAUGGGUUUAGAAAACACCAACACUGUAACAGUUAUAAAGCAAACCAAACACCAAACAACUUACCUUAGGUAGGGCGUACUAGGGGUGGUAAUACCUUCCCUUUACGCAACCAGUCCCUUGCCUUAGAAUCUCUGAAAGACCAGUUAGGAUUCCUAGUGACCAAAAUACUAGGUGGCAACUCCUUUAUUCACAAAACAAAAAAAACCACUAAAAUCAAUCGAGGGUCGCCGCGCUCCGCCGCGAGGGUGCGACAGGAUGGCGACUCCGCUGGGGACCCUAGGACUAGGCUUGGUAAUUUGUUUAUUUAUGCUAUGUAUUGUUGGUUUUUGUUUUUGUUUUUGUAUGAAUAAUACUUUGUUUAAAAGCUUUAGCUUGCAUCUUCACAUUCUGUCAUACAUGAUAUAGUCAUGCAUCCCUUUAUUAUUAUUAUCUUUUUGAGGGCACACACAGUAAACUUUAAGUUAAGUGGGGGACUAGCAGCUUGCCUUAUGACUUGAGUCAAGGUUUAAGUUUGUGCAAACCCCAACUCUUUGCUGAGUGUUUAGACUGAUAGUGACUGGUACACGUGUCAUCCCACUAUCUGCUGAACCCCCAUAUUGCCUUUACGAGGGGACAACAAGAGACCCUUUUUAGAGACCAAGUAGUAAACCUACCCUUUGUCUCACGUAAAGGAACUAGAACCUAUCCUUACGGUGUAUGCUCCAUAAUAUCUUUUGCAUCAAAACAAGUCUAACCCCCAAGGCAUCUUGAAUUGCAGGACUUGUGAACGAAAUGGCCACCAUUGCUAAAUUUUCCAUCAUAGAAUAUGGAAAAAUUCUGAACUGUCACAAUUGACUAAAGAAGACUGUCUUAGAAAUGAUGCUAAGAAGUUGUCACCAAUCAAGAAUCUGAAUUGCAUUAUGAAUGAGGUGAACAAGUUAACGGCUCACUUUUAGAAUGAGGUGAACAAGUUGUCACCAAUCGUACGUAGAGAACCCAUUUUGGUCACGGGGGAUUCGAUUUUUGGUUAAGAUUAUCAUACAAGUCAAAAUUGGGACACCAAUUGCCCCACGAUACCAUUAAGAAACCAAAAAAAUAAAAAUAAAAUAAGGCAGCGAUCUGCAAUGUUUUUUUACUAUAUUUAUAAUAAGGACAAAAAACCCUUUUCUUCAUUUAUUUUCUUAUUUUGGGCAUGGAUAGGGAUGAAGUAUCAGAGAACUGUCAUGCAACAGGAAGUGAGGAUUUUAUUCUUUAAUUUAAUUAUUGUACAAAAUCUUCCAACACUCAUUGCCCUAAGUUGCUUUAUAUAUAUAUCAAUCAAAUGUGCAAAUAUAUGUGGGUUUGUUUUUGCGUUCAAAAAAUUCUUUUCAAAAUUGUUCAAAAUCAUAAGAACUUACUUGGUGGGGAUGGGAUACUCCGGGAAGAACAUGCACAUAAGCUUGAACAGAGUUAGCAUAUGUCUUGGCUGAGCCGGUUAGGUACUUGAGGAUGUGAACGAUGCUAGCAUUGACAGUGGGUUGCAACAAUGGUCCAAGCACCAGCACUGGGUUCACCACCACUAGGUCAACUCCAUUCUUCUUAGCCACAUCCCAUGCAUCCUGUUCCGCCACAGUCUUUCCAUAGCAAUACCAAUUCUGCAAUUCCAAGAUGAACUUACAUCAAGAUGUGAAGGAUAGGCAAUUAGGAUUUCAAGAUGCAGUAAGCCCUAUGACGCUAGAAUAAUAAACUUACAUCAAGAUGUGAAGGAUAGGCAAUUAGGAUAGAGAUAUUUUUAUUUACACCCACUCUGUAUGCUUUGAGUAACCCAAGUGUAUGUGGGCACAAUAAUAGUUAUGUUAAUCAAUUAUCAUGACAUGUGAUUAAUUAGCAUAUAUUUUAUAUCAUGUUGAUUUAUUCAUCAAGUAAUAGCCGAUCCGUGCUCUAAUUAGGAGCUAUUUAAUUAUGUUAAUCAAUCAUCAUCACAUGUUAUUAAUUAAAUACCUUGGUGUUCUUGCAGAACUCAAGAUCACUCCAGCAAGAUUCAUCAACGACAACAUCAGGGCCCCUAUUGGGGUCCAUGUACACAGUACCAAUUGAAGACGUGAAAACCACUCGUCGGACUUUGGCCUCAGAUGCUGCCAUGAUCACAUUCUUGGUUCCAUUCACUGCUGGCUCCACCAUUUGCUCCUUCAAGUAUUGUAACACAAAAUCAUCAAAACCAAACUUGAAGAAAACAUACUUUGCCUCAUGAAAUUUCGAAAAAAAACUAAAAAAAAUGUACAGAAUCUUUUACUAACAUUUGUCGGUGACAUCCGUACUUAAAUUUACCGGCAGGCCUAAAAUUUGUCCUUGGAAGUCCAAGUGAUGUUUUUAUUUUCUUUUCUUAAAAUUCUCAGCAUCCAAACAAUAUUUUUACUGCCAAUGAACCGAAAAGAAAAGAAAAAAAGGAAACAUACUGGAUCGUCUGUGAGAGGAGAAGCAGUAUGGAAAACUCCAUCACACCCUUGAAUAGCCUCUUUAAGAGACUCAUAAUCAAGGAGAUCAGCCUUGCAUAAAGUUAAUCUUUCUUGAGCUCCUUCAAGCUCCCUCAAAUGGGAAUUCUUGGGAUCAGCUGUGUAUACCCACACAAAUACAUGUAGGGAAUUCCGACCGGUGAUGUUCUGAUAUUUGCUCAUAGGAGGUAAAGCACACUGACACAAUAUUUAACGUGGUUCGGCAAACUGCCUACAUCCACGGGAGAAGCCAUUGCAUUAUACAGGGAGAGAACAAGAUUUACAACAAUAGAGGAGGAGGAAUCAUCCCCUCUUUGGCAACUCUCAACCUCACUCUAUUUCUCUCUUUUCAGUGCUGCAAUGGCAGCUACUGCUGGCUGCCUUGGCAGCCCACUCUCUCCUACAUUUCUCACAUCUUUGGCUCUACACACUCUCUCAUUUUGCUCUCUAAUGUAUUCCUCUAUUUAUAGGCAUCCAUGGCAGCUCCUCCAGCUCUUUUGUCAACAAUGGUGGCUGCCAAACUUACCAAACUUUGACAUUAGACAAUGGUUGUUGGCUGCCACCAACAACCCACCAUUGCAGCCAUCUUCUUUGACAAUGGCAGCCACAUAAUUGGCAAUAUUCCAACAAUCACCCCCUUUGCCAUUUAUGUGGGCAAUUGUCCUCUUGCUUCUUUAGCACACGCUUGCAUCCUGCAGCUCUUCGAAGCUUACCAUUCCGAGAGCGUCUUUGGCCAAGUUUACAGGUACUUGCCAAACCUUUCAAUCGCCAGAGUCACCCAAGCACCCCUUUGCUCACUCCAAAGGAUCACUUCAACCAGAUGAUCUACCACAUCACAUCUGAAGAGUGUUAACGCUUGUCUCUAGGACACUGCAUUCCCCUUCAAGCAUAUCAACCAUGCUUGGCCCGGAAUGAUUUAUCAAGCCUUACAUCAAGGCUUACAACACCCCCUCAAACGGAUAUUUCCAAGUGCGACAGUCAUUGAGUAUUUUAAUGUGAUCUCGGGCUCACCACUUUUCCAAGAGUCUACUCAUCCCGGAGUUGCGUCUGCCCUCUGUUCCUCCCUAGGAACCACGCCUUACUUCUCUGUGAGUCUCUCUCUCUUAGUCUCAAGAGUCCAGGUAGCUCUCUACGUUAAACCAUGGGGGCAGCCCAUUAAAGGUUGAUCCAUCUCUAUCUUCAUACUCUGAGUAUUACAAUGCCAUUUACUGAGCUCACCACCUUGACAAGAGUCAACUUGUUCCCGGAACCUGCGCAUGCCCUCUGCUCCUUCAUAGCAGUCACGUCUUAAUGCUCCACAAGUCACACACUUAUUGUCCAAGGCAAAUGUCUUCUAGCUCAUUAAUCUUUAGCAUGGGGGCAAUAUCCAUGAAAGUCAAUCCUGUAUUUUCUCCAUACUCAUCAUAACCACUUCAUUGGCUAUCCAUACACCUGUCCACUUGUAUCCAGCCAUCACAUCGGUCUUUAGGGCGUUCUGAAAUUGGGCUCCUAUCAUGGCCCUCACACCUUCUCCUGAGGUGUCUCUGUCUGUCGUCAUGAGACGGUCUGAACUUGGACUCAUAUCAUGGUCCUCACACCUUCCAUCCUGAGGUGUCUUCGCCUGUCUUCAUGAGACGGUCUGAACUUGGACUCAUAUCAUGGUCCUCACACCUUCUGUCUAAGGUGUCUUCGCCUGUCGUCAUGAGACGGUUUGAACUUGGACUCAUAUCAUGGUCCUCACACCUUAUAUCCGAGGUCUCUCCGCAUGUCGUCAUGAGGCGGUCUGUACUUGGGCUCCUUUCAUGGCCCACACACCUUUUUGCCUGAGGUGUCUCUGCUCGUCGUCAUGCGGCGGUUUCUACUUGGGCUAGUUUCAUGGCCCACACACCUUCUGCCUGAGGUGUCUCCGCUCAUCGUCAUGUGGCGGUUUGUACUUGGGCUCGUUUUAUGGCCCACACACCUUCUAUUUGAGGUGUCUCCGCUCAUCGUCAUGUGGCGGUUUGUACUUGGGCUCGUUUUAUGGCCCACACACCUUCUAUUUGAGGUGUCUCCGCUCAUCGUCAUGUGGCGGUCUGUAUUUGGGCUCGUUUCAUGGCCCACACACCUUCUGCCUGAGGUGUCUCCGUUCAUCAUGAAGCGGUCACAUCCUCCUUCAUCGGGGAUGUCUCCAGUGGCUCCAAGAUUCUCUACCACCAUGUGGACUUGGGAGAGAUCACUGCCACUGAUCACAUAGAAAGAGAGAGUUGUGGUGCACUCUUCGCAAUCUUUCAUCUCAUUUUCUAUGUUUGGAGCUUCUAUGCCUUUCUGUUUGAUAGCUCCACCCACACCAACUAUCUUUGGUGUCUUCGCCUUUCAUCGGCGGUCGCACCCCCUUAAUUAGGUGCUUCUGCAACAGCUCAUCUUUCCAUCCUUGCAUGCAUUGGAAAGGUCCUCGUUUGUUGCCUUUAUCAAGAGCACAAGAGACUUCCUGUUGUACAACUUUUCACACAGUCUCUACUCUGAGCUUCAUCUGGGAACUCUUCUUCUCCUUGCAUCUGUUGUCUCAUUACAGUACCUCGUUGGAUCCUUCGGGUACUCCUGCACAAUCUCCGUGUGCUCUCGUGCAAUUUCGGUUCUCCAGAUUUCUCCCUAUUCUUUGCUUUUAUGUUUGACAGCAGCUCAUCCUGUCACAACAUUUAUUCAAGUCAAAAUAGGGUGCCAAUCUUUAUCCCUUGUUGUAUUUCUCUUCCAUUAUCAGGGUCUUCAUUAAUUAUCCCUUCGAGAAAUCACAGUCACCGAAUCUAACUUCUUUGGAGAAAUCACCACUCCAUCAGAUCCUUGAACAUAUAGAACCCAACUGUUCCUUUGUGCCGUCAUCUUGCUAGUCUUCAACAGUUUCAUUACAAACUGUUACAUAUACAAAAAUAGUACUGUGUGGAUGAUCCUUCAACUAAGCAAGUUCCCAGGAAAGAUUUGGAGGGGUCACACUGGUCCCGCUUAAAACCCAAUCUCCUAGACAGAACUUCUUAGAACGUAUCUAUCCACCGUACUGCCUUUUCGUAUAUACAACCAUUUGCUAGCUUUGUUGCGGCUUUCCUUUACAAGUGAUCUGGGGUAUCCCGGUUUUAUACCUGAUUUCUCAACAUUUGGCGAGACUACCAGUUCUUAGAUUCGUCAAGAUUGGUCUUCAUCAAAUUUCCACUCUCCACCUCAAAUUGUCCACUUGAUUGGGUGUCUAGAGUGUCCCAAUUUUACCUUCCCUCAAGGCAAUUAAAAUUCUCUCCACUUAGCAGUUCAGCACAUGUAAUUGGGUAAACAUGUGUGACAUGUUCUUCUUCAUCUCCAUCGACCACCAUGAUGACCUUUAGAUGCCUCCUGAUCGGGCAAUCUCUUUUGUUAAUUCACCACCACCACUUUCGGUCUCAAAUCUCAACGAUCGGACCGUACCAUUGCAUUCAGAACGAUCCAAUUAGCUGGAAACAAGUCUGAAAUCGUCCAAAUCGCAUUUCAGACGGCUACGAUUUGAUCAAAACAAUUCUGGCCUGAUGAACGGCCCAGAUUCAAUAUCAGAUCCGGUUGCACAUAGACUCUGCUGCACAGAAUCUUAUCCCUCGGCUCGCGGCUCGGCUCAGCUUCACAACGGCUCGGCUCAACUCGGCUCAACUCGGCUCAAGGUGGGUCCCACUUUGCUGACGUGUCUGCUGACUGGUCGAUGAUGUGGCUGCUGACAUGGCAUGCCUACUGUGCAUGCUGACAUCACACUUACAUCAGGCUGAUGUCAUCUCUGGCAUGCCUACUGUGCAUGCUGACAUCACAAUUAUGUCAUGCUGACGUCAUUAUUAUCCGGGUCAGCCAUGUGGGUCGGGUCAACUGGUAUUCGGGUCGGGUCAGCCCAUCCGGGCGAAGAAGACGCGUGGCACGCGUGGGGCGCGUUUGCGCGCGUAGGCUGACGCCUUGCCGGAGAGUGCGGCCAUGUCCAACGUCUGAUUUUGACGCCGUUUUCACCAGUGGCUUCGUCUCUUCCUCCUCUACACGGUGGUAUGGUCAAAACACAAUUUUGACAACUCUCAUUUUUGAGCAAAAAUCAAACACCACUUCAAACCAUAUGCUCUGAUACCAAUUGUAGGGAAUUCCGACCGGUGAUGUUCUGAUAUUUGCUCAUAGGAGGUAAAGCACACUGACACAAUAUUUAACGUGGUUCGGCAAACUGCCUACAUCCACGGGAGAAGCCAUUGCAUUAUACAGGGAGAGAACAAGAUUUACAACAAUAGAGGAGGAGGAAUCAUCCCCUCUUUGGCAACUCUCAACCUCACUCUAUUUCUCUCUUUUCAGUGCUGCAAUGGCAGCUACUGCUGGCUGCCUUGGCAGCCCACUCUCUCCUACAUUUCUCACAUCUUUGGCUCUACACACUCUCUCAUUUUGCUCUCUAAUGUAUUCCUCUAUUUAUAGGCAUCCAUGGCAGCUCCUCCAGCUCUUUUGUCAACAAUGGUGGCUGCCAAACUUACCAAACUUUGACAUUAGACAAUGGUUGUUGGCUGCCACCAACAACCCACCAUUGCAGCCAUCUUCUUUGACAAUGGCAGCCACAUAAUUGGCAAUAUUCCAACAAUACAGAGCAUUAAAUUAACACAAUCUUAAGAACAGAAAACGAAAAGGGAAAGAAACCAAGUGCUUAAUUAUUAUAAACUAACCUGGGUUCCUCACAGUUCCUUUAACAGAGUAACCUUUCUCUAGAAGAAGUUUAACAAUCCAUGAAGCAAUGAAGCCACCAGCCCCGGUGACACAGACAGUUUGGCCUUGGCAUGGAAGUGAUGAAAUAUCGACAGGCAUGUUGUUUUGAUAUGUGUAUUAUGUGUGCGUGUUUGGUGGUAGAACGAAGGAAGAGAGACAGAGAGAGGGAGGUGUUUUCCUUUUCUCUUGAUUUAGGUACGUGACUGAGUUUUUGUAAUAUGAAUCGUCAACACCAUGUCCUGAAUUUAUAGUUGUUAUUCUUUUAAGGUUUUGUGUGCUGGUUAAUCAUGAUGUUUACGUAAGCCUGCUCUUCUUCAACUUCCACCGCAUAAUCUUGUGUGCGAAUUGGAUUCAAUCCAAAAAAGAUUAAUGUCCAUUGAUUAAUAAAAUUCCUAAACCAGC
RNAcentral lists this long non-coding RNA (28879 nucleotides) under Populus trichocarpa (black cottonwood). RNAcentral describes it as "long non-coding RNA (PTRI_LNC000043)". The record is from RNAcentral. Lineage: Eukaryota; Viridiplantae; Streptophyta; Magnoliopsida; Malpighiales; Salicaceae.